RNAcentral lists this ribosomal RNA (777 nucleotides) under uncultured Neocallimastigales. RNAcentral's name for it is "partial large subunit ribosomal RNA". It matches the Rfam family "Eukaryotic large subunit ribosomal RNA", at positions 20 to 616 of the family's 3401-position model. The record is from RNAcentral. Lineage: Eukaryota; Fungi; Neocallimastigomycota; Neocallimastigomycetes; Neocallimastigales.
UACUAGAGUAGCACUCGCAUAUCAAUAAGCGGAGGAAAAGAAACUAACAAGGAUUCCCCUAGUAACGGCGAGUGAAGCGGGAAGAGCUCAAAUUUGAAAUCUUAAAGGGUUUCCCUUUACGAAUUGUAGUUUAAAGAAGUGUUUUCUGUUGAGGUUUUGGUAAAAGUUCUUUGGAAUAGGACAUCAUAGAGGGUGAGAAUCCCGUAUUUGACCUUUACUUUCAACUUUGUGAUACACUUUCAAAGAGGUCGGAUUGUUUGGGAACUGCAGUCCAAAAUGGGUGGUAAAUUUCAUCUAAAGCUAAAUAUUGGCGAGAGACCGAUAGCGAACAAGUACCGUGAGGGAAAGAUGAAAAGAACUUUGAAAAGAGAGUUAAACAGUACGUGAAAUUGUCAAAAGGGAAGCGUUUGACACCAGUGUUGUUUUUCUGAAAAUCAAUUAAAGAACUGUUUAUGCUAAGCUGUUUAGACUUUAUCAGCUAAUCUGUUUAGUUUUGAGCUUUUCUUUAAUGCACUUUUCAGUUAACAAGUCAACAUCAAUUUCUUUUGCUGUAAAAAAGCUAGAGGAAGGUGGCUUGAGAUUCGUCUUAAGUGUUUAUAGCCUCUUGCCUAUGCAGUCGGAGAGAUUGAGGUCUGCAGCGUAGAUCCUUCGGGGCUAAAUGCAUUUGUGCUAAGUUAUAGCAUUUUAUAGACAACUUGUUGACUAUGAUUUGUCUUGUAGCUUACUCGCUUAUGUUAUUUUACCUACGCUUAGGAUGUUGAGCGCAUGUCUCUCUCU